AGCCCAGGAGGUAGAGACGCCAAAAUGCAAAUUUGGAGACGCACCCACAAAGGGUGCCGGGGCUU
This 65-nucleotide transfer RNA is filed under the name Gehyra robusta. RNAcentral's name for it is "tRNA-Cys". The record is from RNAcentral. Lineage: Eukaryota; Metazoa; Chordata; Lepidosauria; Squamata; Gekkonidae.